This 1371-nucleotide ribosomal RNA is filed under the name uncultured bacterium. RNAcentral describes it as "bacterial SSU rRNA". It matches the Rfam family "Bacterial small subunit ribosomal RNA", at positions 28 to 1381 of the family's 1533-position model. The record is from RNAcentral.
GAUGAACGCUGGCGGCGUGCCUAAUACAUGCAAGUCGAGCGAACGGACGAGAAGCUUGCUUCUCUGAUGUUAGCGGCGGACGGGUGAGUAACACGUGGAUAACCUACCUAUAAGACUGGGAUAACUUCGGGAAACCGGAGCUAAUACCGGAUAAUAUUUUGAACCGCAUGGUUCAAAAGUGAAAGACGGUCUUGCUGUCACUUAUAGAUGGAUCCGCGCUGCAUUAGCUAGUUGGUAAGGUAACGGCUUACCAAGGCAACGAUGCAUAGCCGACCUGAGAGGGUGAUCGGCCACACUGGAACUGAGACACGGUCCAGACUCCUACGGGAGGCAGCAGUAGGGAAUCUUCCGCAAUGGGCGAAAGCCUGACGGAGCAACGCCGCGUGAGUGAUGAAGGUCUUCGGAUCGUAAAACUCUGUUAUUAGGGAAGAACAUAUGUGUAAGUAACUGUGCACAUCUUGACGGUACCUAAUCAGAAAGCCACGGCUAACUACGUGCCAGCAGCCGCGGUAAUACGUAGGUGGCAAGCGUUAUCCGGAAUUAUUGGGCGUAAAGCGCGCGUAGGCGGUUUUUUAGUCUGAUGUGAAAGCCCACGGCUCAACCGUGGAGGGUCAUUGGAAACUGGAAAACUUGAAUGCAGAAGAGGAAAGUGGAAUUCCAUGUGUAGCGGUGAAAUGCGCAGAGAUAUGGAGGAACACCAGUGGCGAAGGCGACUUUCUGGUCUGUAACUGACGCUGAUGUGCGAAAGCGUGGGGAUCAAACAGGAUUAGAUACCCUGGUAGUCCACGCCGUAAACGAUGAGUGCUAAGUGUUAGGGGGUUUCCGCCCCUUAGUGCUGCAGCUAACGCAUUAAGCACUCCGCCUGGGGAGUACGACCGCAAGGUUGAAACUCAAAGGAAUUGACGGGGACCCGCACAAGCGGUGGAGCAUGUGGUUUAAUUCGAAGCAACGCGAAGAACCUUACCAAAUCUUGACAUCCUUUGACAACUCUAGAGAUAGAGCCUUCCCCUUCGGGGGACAAAGUGACAGGUGGUGCAUGGUUGUCGUCAGCUCGUGUCGUGAGAUGUUGGGUUAAGUCCCGCAACGAGCGCAACCCUUAAGCUUAGUUGCCAUCAUUAAGUUGGGCACUCUAAGUUGACUGCCGGUGACAAACCGGAGGAAGGUGGGGAUGACGUCAAAUCAUCAUGCCCCUUAUGAUUUGGGCUACACACGUGCUACAAUGGACAAUACAAAGGGCAGCGAAACCGCGAGGUCAAGCAAAUCCCAUAAAGUUGUUCUCAGUUCGGAUUGUAGUCUGCAACUCGACUACAUGAAGCUGGAAUCGCUAGUAAUCGUAGAUCAGCAUGCUACGGUGAAUACGUUCCCGGGUCU